AUGGCAGAAGCUUUAGCCCUCAAAUUUGGACUAACACUAGCGCAAAGGACAGGGUGCAAUCGCCUAAUCAUCAACUCAGAUAAUCUAGAGGUGAUUGAGACCAUUCAAGAUGGAGGACAGUCAACAGCGGCAAUUUUCGAUGACUGCUUCCACUACGCAUGUGAUUAUAUUAUGACUAGAUUCGAACAUUGUAAUAGAGAGGCAAAUAGAGUAGCACAUGAACUUGCUAGAUUAGCUAGAUUUUCUUCAACUUCAGAUUGGUUUGAGGAGCCUAUCAAUGAAAUUGUACUCAUCCUCACAAACGAUGUAUUGGUUAUUUCUAAUGAAUAA
Molecule: ribosomal RNA, 330 nt
Filed under: Triticum aestivum (bread wheat)
Lineage: Eukaryota; Viridiplantae; Streptophyta; Magnoliopsida; Poales; Poaceae
Description: partial small subunit ribosomal RNA
Source: RNAcentral